RNAcentral lists this transfer RNA (85 nucleotides) under Clostridioides difficile. Its description in RNAcentral is "tRNA-Tyr". It matches the Rfam family "tRNA". From Rfam's summary of the family: Transfer RNA (tRNA) molecules are approximately 80 nucleotides in length. Their secondary structure includes four short double-helical elements and three loops (D, anti-codon, and T loops). Further hydrogen bonds mediate the characteristic L-shaped molecular structure. tRNAs have two regions of fundamental functional importance: the anti-codon, which is responsible for specific mRNA codon recognition, and the 3' end, to which the tRNAs corresponding amino acid is attached (by aminoacyl-tRNA synthetases). tRNAs cope with the degeneracy of the genetic code in two manners: having more than one tRNA (with a specific anti-codon) for a particular amino acid; and 'wobble' base-pairing, i.e. permitting non-standard base-pairing at the 3rd anti-codon position. Lineage: Bacteria; Bacillati; Bacillota; Clostridia; Peptostreptococcales; Peptostreptococcaceae. The record is from RNAcentral.
GGAGGAUUUUCCGAGCGGCCAAAGGGGGCAGACUGUAAAUCUGUUGUCAUCGACUUCGGUGGUUCGAAUCCACCAUCCUCCACCA